GACGAACGCUGGCGGCGUGCCUAAUACAUGCAAGUCGAGCGGACGAAUCGAAAGCUUGCUUUUGAUUCGUUAGCGGCGGACGGGUGAGUAGCACGUGGGCAACCUGCCCUGUAGACGGGGAUAACACCGAGAAAUCGGUGCUAAUACCGGAUAACACGAAAUGUCGCAUGACGUUUCGUUGAAAGACGGCGCAAGCUGUCGCUACAGGAUGGGCCCGCGGCGCAUUAGCUAGUUGGUGAGGUAACGGCUCACCAAGGCGACGAUGCGUAGCCGACCUGAGAGGGUGAUCGGCCACACUGGGACUGAGACACGGCCCAGACUCCUACGGGAGGCAGCAGUAAGGAAUCUUCCGCAAUGGACGAAAGUCUGACGGAGCAACGCCGCGUGAGCGAAGAAGGCCUUCGGGUCGUAAAGCUCUGUUGUUAGGGAAGAACAAGUAACGCAGUAACUGGCGUUACCGUGACGGUACCUAACGAGAAAGCCACGGCUAACUACGUG
RNAcentral lists this ribosomal RNA (498 nucleotides) under uncultured bacterium. RNAcentral describes it as "partial 16S ribosomal RNA". It matches the Rfam family "Bacterial small subunit ribosomal RNA", at positions 28 to 507 of the family's 1533-position model. The record is from RNAcentral.